UUAGCGAUGGAGGGACGCAGGAGGCUAAGGAAUGCACACGAUCGGAAAUGUGUGUCCAAGCAGCAAGUCUGAGAACGAGUGAAAUGCUUUUUCUCUCAAGGACAAGCUGUGAUGGGGAGCGAAAUUUAGUAGCGAAGUUCCUGAUGUCACACUGCCAAGAAAAGCUUCUAGUGAGAAAGUAACUGCCCGUACCGCAAACCGACACAGGUGGUUGAGGAGAGAAUCCUAAGGUGUGCGAGAGAACUCUCGUUAAGGAACUCGGCAAAAUGACCCCGUAACUUCGGGAGAAGGGGUGCUGACCGCAAGGUCAGCCGCAGUGAAUAGGCCCAAGCGACUGUUUAUCAAAAACACAGGUCUCUGCAAAAUCGAAAGAUGACGUAUAGGGGCUGACGCCUGCCCGGUGCUGGAAGGUUAAGAGGAGAGGUUAGCGCAAGCGAAGCUUUGAAUUGAAGCCCCAGUAAACGGCGGCCGUAACUAUAACGGUCCUAAGGUAGCGAAAUUCCUUGUCGGGUAAGUUCCGACCCGCACGAAAGGCGUAACGAUUUGGGCACUGUCUCAACGAGAGACUCGGUGAAAUUAUAGUACCAGUGAAGAUGCUGGUUACCCGCGACAGGACGGAAAGACCCCAUGGAGCUUUACUGCAGUUUGAUAUUGCGUGUUUGUAUCACAUGUACAGGAUAGGUAGGAGCCGAAGAUACCGGGACGCCAGUCUCGGAGGAGGCAACGGUGGGAUACUACCCUUGUGAUAUGACCACUCUAACCCGCUGCUCUUAGCGAGCAGGGAGACAGUGUCAGACGGGCAGUUUGACUGGGGCGGUCGCCUCCAAAAAUGUAACGGAGGCGCCCAAAGGUUCCCUCAGAAUGGUUGGAAAUCAUUCGUAGAGUGUAAAGGCAGAAGGGAGCUUGACUGCGAGACCUACAAGUCGAGCAGGGACGAAAGUCGGGCUUAGUGAUCCGGUGGUUCCGCAUGGAAGGGCCAUCGCUCAACGGAUAAAAGCUACCCUGGGGAUAACAGGCUUAUCUCCCCCAAGAGUUCACAUCGACGGGGAGGUUUGGCACCUCGAUGUCGGCUCAUCGCAUCCUGGGGCUGUAGUCGGUCCCAAGGGUUGGGCUGUUCGCCCAUUAAAGCGGUACGCGAGCUGGGUUCAGAACGUCGUGAGACAGUUCGGUCCCUAUCCGUCGCGGGCGUUGGAAAUUUGAGAGGAGCUGUCCUUAGUACGAGAGGACCGGGAUGGACACACCGCUGGUGUACCAGUUGUUCUGCCAAGAGCAUCGCUGGGUAGCUAUGUGUGGACGGGAUAAACGCUGAAAGCAUCUAAGCGUGAAGCCCCCCUCAAGAUGAGAUUUCCCAUCACUUUAAGUGAGUAAGACCCCUGAGAGAUGAUCAGGUAGAUAGGUUGGGAGUGGAAGUACAGCGAUGUAUGGAGCGGACCAAUACUAAUCGGUCGAGGACUUAACC
This 1459-nucleotide ribosomal RNA is filed under the name metagenome. RNAcentral describes it as "bacterial LSU rRNA". It matches the Rfam family "Bacterial large subunit ribosomal RNA", at positions 1458 to 2925 of the family's 2925-position model. The record is from RNAcentral.